This is a long non-coding RNA of Manis pentadactyla (Chinese pangolin), 161 nucleotides long. RefSeq lists it as uncharacterized. Lineage: Eukaryota; Metazoa; Chordata; Mammalia; Pholidota; Manidae. The transcript is spliced from 2 exons. The record is from RefSeq and is a predicted model, not a curated record.
CAAUGCCAUCUCGUUUUUAAACAUUAAUGUAAUUUGCCUUUUAAUAGUACUUAAAAAAUUUUUUUCUUACCAGAAUUGGCUCUGAAGACACAGUUGAGUAGAGUGAUUAAAAAAAUCAGAGAGGUAAUAAUAUAUUCAUUACCCCUGUUACUUGGCUUAAA